RNAcentral lists this ribosomal RNA (318 nucleotides) under Clostridioides difficile. Its description in RNAcentral is "bacterial LSU rRNA". It matches the Rfam family "Bacterial large subunit ribosomal RNA", at positions 469 to 788 of the family's 2925-position model. Lineage: Bacteria; Bacillati; Bacillota; Clostridia; Peptostreptococcales; Peptostreptococcaceae. The record is from RNAcentral.
AAUACUACCUAGUGACCGAUAGCGUAUAGUACCGUGAGGGAAAGGUGAAAAGAACCCCGGGAGGGGAGUGAAAUAGAACCUGAAACCCUGCACUUACAAGCUGUGGAAGCACAUUUCUUGUGUGACCGCGUACUUUUUGUAGAACGGGCCAACGAGUUACGUUAAGUAGCAAGGUUAAGCACUUAAGGUGCGGAGCCGUAGCGAAAGCGAGUUUUAACUGAGCGUUCAGUUACUUGACGUAGACCCGAAACCGGGCGACCUACCCAUGAGCAGGAUGAAGCGAAAGUAAAAUUUCGUGGAGGUCCGAACCCACGAGCG